GGGCCCGUAGUUCAAUGGAUAGAACAAUGGUUUCCGGUACCAUAGAUCGGGGUUCGACUCCCUGCGGGCCUGCCA
This 75-nucleotide transfer RNA is filed under the name Akkermansiaceae bacterium. RNAcentral's name for it is "tRNA-Arg". It matches the Rfam family "tRNA". From Rfam's summary of the family: Transfer RNA (tRNA) molecules are approximately 80 nucleotides in length. Their secondary structure includes four short double-helical elements and three loops (D, anti-codon, and T loops). Lineage: Bacteria; Pseudomonadati; Verrucomicrobiota; Verrucomicrobiia; Verrucomicrobiales; Akkermansiaceae. The record is from RNAcentral.